GUUGAAAUGAUUUUUUUUUUUUUUAAACUGUUGAUUAUUAUAUAAAUAUUGUAUAACUGAAUAAAUAUUGCAAAAUCAAGUUUGGUGUAGUGGUUUGUGAGUCAUCCUUCCUCCUUUAAGGGUCAAGGUUUGAGUCCCUUCAAUGACACAAAAUCUUUUUUUUUUAAAGGUGAAUAAAAAGCAACGGAUUUGGUCCCCUACAGGCGAUGGUGAACGGCGAUGGUGACCUGCGGUGAUGGCCGGCGACGGGUGGCCGGUGGCAGGUGCCCUGCUGUGGUGGCCGGCGACGGGUGACCAGCGGUGAUGACCGGCGACGAUGGCCGGUGGUGGUGGUCUGUGGUGGUGACUAGAUAUGGACAUAUGGCAUAGUAUGCUUGCCUUAGAAGGAGUGGCAUUAUGUGUAAUUUUGAUAUUUUUUUAAUGAUAUUUUUAUAAAAUUAGGUACUAUAUUUGGUCUUUGGUCUUAUGCUAAUUAGAUGAAAUUGUAUUCCUGUCUUCCAAAUUAGUAAACUAUAUUAUGUUUUAAAAC
RNAcentral lists this long non-coding RNA (529 nucleotides) under Prunus persica (peach). RNAcentral's name for it is "long non-coding RNA (PPER_LNC006903)". The record is from RNAcentral. Lineage: Eukaryota; Viridiplantae; Streptophyta; Magnoliopsida; Rosales; Rosaceae.